This 701-nucleotide long non-coding RNA is filed under the name Eucalyptus grandis. Its description in RNAcentral is "long non-coding RNA (EGRA_LNC006870)". Lineage: Eukaryota; Viridiplantae; Streptophyta; Magnoliopsida; Myrtales; Myrtaceae. The record is from RNAcentral.
AUCUUUGAACCUCUUGUGCUGUCUUUUUAUAAGUUAUUUGUUGGAAAAAAAAAAAACUUUACAUUCUGGUUCAUGUGUAAGAAUGUCUUUCCACUCAUCGCUUCAAUUGAACUUUUGUGUUCCCACUGAAAUGGGUUUCCAUGUGAACUAUGAGAAUUAACAGAAAUUCUUAUUAUUGGAGCAAGUAUCUUGUUUUUUGUUCCAUUAUGUAUCUUUCUCCUUCAAAUAUGUCAGUCGGCAUCUUAUUAUUGGAGCAAUUAUCUUGUUUAACCAAACUGGACAAUAAUAUUUGGAUGAAAAAUCAGAACUGGACAAGUACUUAGAGGAAACAUUGUGGUCAAUGUCUGUUCUUUUCAGGAUCUGUCAAAACCCAGUACUUCUCAGGGCUGCCUCAAAUGCCUUUUGGACUUCUUGUCAUGUUAUAUCAAAGCUUCUCUUAUCUUCACAAUCUGCCUGAAGAGGAGCUUAAUUAGUUCAUUCCAUGCCCGUGCUGCCAAUGCAGCCGAUGUUGUCCACCUUAGUGCAUUAAGUAGUGCAUUAAUUAGGCUUUCCAGUUUGAUUUAUUACCCUCUAGUGUCACCAAAAUCGUGUAAAUGAGUAACUAUUCUAUAUUUCAAGUUUGGACACAAAUGCGAUAUAAAAAUUGUCUGCUAUUGAAUGCAGAUUUAGUCUUACACCUUCUCUCAGUACUUUGUAUUGUU